RNAcentral lists this ribosomal RNA (497 nucleotides) under uncultured bacterium. RNAcentral's name for it is "partial 16S ribosomal RNA". It matches the Rfam family "Bacterial small subunit ribosomal RNA", at positions 28 to 507 of the family's 1533-position model. The record is from RNAcentral.
GAUGAACGCUGGCGGCGUGCCUAAUACAUGCAAGUCGAGCGAACGGACGAGGAGCUUGCUUCUCUGAUGUUAGCGGCGGACGGGUGAGUAACACGUGGAUAACCUACCUAUAAGACUGGGAUAACUUCGGGAAACCGGAGCUAAUACCGGAUAAUAUUUUGAACCGCAUGGUUCAAAAGUGAAAGACGGUCUUGCUGUCACUUAUAGAUGGAUCCGCGCUGCAUUAGCUAGUUGGUAAGGUAACGGCUUACCAAGGCAACGAUGCAUAGCCGACCUGAGAGGGUGAUCGGCCACACUGGAACUGAGACACGGUCCAGACUCCUACGGGAGGCAGCAGUAGGGAAUCUUCCGCAAUGGGCGAAAGCCUGACGGAGCAACGCCGCGUGAGUGAUGAAGGUCUUCGGAUCGUAAAACUCUGUUAUUAGGGAAGAACAUAUGUGUGAGUAACUGUGCACAUCUUGACGGUACCUAAUCAGAAAGCCACGGCUAACUACGUG